Molecule: ribosomal RNA, 208 nt
Filed under: uncultured bacterium
Lineage: Bacteria
Description: partial 16S ribosomal RNA
Rfam family: Bacterial small subunit ribosomal RNA
Source: RNAcentral
CGGACUGUAGGCUGCAACUCGCCUACACGAAGUCGGAAUCGCUAGUAAUCNCGGAUCAGCAUGCCGCGGUGAAUACGUUCCCGGGCCUUGUACACACCGCCCGUCACACCAUGGGAGUUUGUAACGCCCAAAGUCGGUGGCCUAACCUUUAUGGAGGGAGCCGCCUAAGGCGGGACAGAUGACUGGGGUGAAGUCGUAACAAGGUAGC